Candidatus Parvarchaeum acidophilus ARMAN-5 is the source of this 83-nucleotide non-coding RNA. NCBI's taxonomy places the organism in Archaea, Nanobdellati, Candidatus Parvarchaeota. The record is from Rfam.
GUCGGGAUACUCAAGCGGUUACGAGGCACGCCUGCUAAGCGUGUUGGCGAAAGCCUGCGUGGGUUCGAAUCCCACUCCCGACG